Molecule: ribosomal RNA, 253 nt
Filed under: uncultured bacterium
Lineage: Bacteria
Description: partial 16S ribosomal RNA
Rfam family: Bacterial small subunit ribosomal RNA
Source: RNAcentral
UACGGAGGUGGCAAGCGUUGCUCGGAAUCACUGGGCGUAAAGGGCGCGUAGGCGGGGAGGUAAGUCGGGUGUGAAAUCCCUCGGCCCAACUGAGGAACUGCGCCCGAGACUGCUUCUCUUGAGUCCCGGAGAGGAAGAUGGAAUUCCCGGUGUAGCGGUGAAAUGUGUAGAGAUCGGGAGGAACACCGGUGGCGAAGGCAGCCCCCUGGGCUAACACUGACGCUCAUGCACGAAAGCGUGGGGAGCAAACAGG